CGCUGAAGAGAGGAGCUUGCUCUUCUUGGAUGAGUUGCGAACGGGUGAGUAACGCGUAGGUAACCUGCCUUGUAGCGGGGGAUAACUAUUGGAAACGAUAGCUAAUACCGCAUAACAAUGGAUGACACAUGUCAUUUAUUUGAAAGGGGCAAUUGCUCCACUACAAGAUGGACCUGCGUUGUAUUAGCUAGUAGGUGAGGUAAUGGCUCACCUAGGCGACGAUACAUAGCCGACCUGAGAGGGUGAUCGGCCACACUGGGACUGAGACACGGCCCAGACUCCUACGGGAGGCAGCAGUAGGGAAUCUUCGGCAAUGGGGGCAACCCUGACCGAGCAACGCCGCGUGAGUGAAGAAGGUUUUCGGAUCGUAAAGCUCUGUUGUAAGUCAAGAACGGGUGUGAGAGUGGAAAGUUCACACUGUGACGGUAGCUUACCAGAAAGGGACGGCUAACUACGUGCCAGCAGCCGCGGUAAUACGUAGGUCCCGAGCGUUGUCCGGAUUUAUUGGGCGUAAAGCGAGCGCAGGCGGUUUGAUAAGUCUGAAGUUAAAGGCUGUGGCUCAACCAUAGUUCGCUUUGGAAACUGUCAAACUUGAGUGCAGAAGGGGAGAGUGGAAUUCCAUGUGUAGCGGUGAAAUGCGUAGAUAUAUGGAGGAACACCGGUGGCGAAAGCGGCUCUCUGGUCUGUAACUGACGCUGAGGCUCGAAAGCGUGGGGAGCGAACAGGAUUAGAUACCCUGGUAGUCCACGCCGUAAACGAUGAGUGCUAGGUGUUGGAUCCUUUCCGGGAUUCAGUGCCGCAGCUAACGCAUUAAGCACUCCGCCUGGGGAGUACGACCGCAAGGUUGAAACUCAAAGGAAUUGACGGGGGCCCGCACAAGCGGUGGAGCAUGUGGUUUAAUUCGAAGCAACGCGAAGAACCUUACCAGGUCUUGACAUCCCGAUGCUAUUUCUAGAGAUAGAAAGUUACUUCGGUACAUCGGUGACAGGUGGUGCAUGGUUGUCGUCAGCUCGUGUCGUGAGAUGUUGGGUUAAGUCCCGCAACGAGCGCAACCCCUAUUGUUAGUUGCCAUCAUUCAGUUGGGCACUCUAGCGAGACUGCCGGUAAUAAACCGGAGGAAGGUGGGGAUGACGUCAAAUCAUCAUGCCCCUUAUGACCUGGGCUACACACGUGCUACAAUGGUUGGUACAACGAGUUGCGAGUCGGUGACGGCGAGCUAAUCUCUUAAAGCCAAUCUCAGUUCGGAUUGUAGGCUGCAACUCGCCUACAUGAAGUCGGAAUCGCUAGUAAUCGCGGAUCAGCACGCCGCGGUGAAUACGUUCCCGGGCCUUGUACACACCGCCCGUCACACCACGAGAGUUUGUAACACCCGAAGUCGGUGAGGUU
Molecule: ribosomal RNA, 1386 nt
Filed under: Streptococcus thermophilus
Lineage: Bacteria; Bacillati; Bacillota; Bacilli; Lactobacillales; Streptococcaceae
Description: bacterial SSU rRNA
Rfam family: Bacterial small subunit ribosomal RNA
Source: RNAcentral